GGAGAAGUACUCAAGUGGUUGAAGAGGUUCCCCUGCUAAGGGAAUAGGUCAGGAAACUGUCGCGAGGGUUCGAAUCCCUCCUUCUCCGCCA
Molecule: transfer RNA, 91 nt
Filed under: Candidatus Paraimprobicoccus trichonymphae
Lineage: Bacteria; Bacillati; Bacillota; Clostridia
Description: tRNA-Ser
Rfam family: tRNA
About the family: Transfer RNA (tRNA) molecules are approximately 80 nucleotides in length. Their secondary structure includes four short double-helical elements and three loops (D, anti-codon, and T loops).
Source: RNAcentral